GUUAGGUUCACCUCAUUUGCUCAAAUUGCAUAUUUCAAAACUUUUUUUUUUGGAAAAAAGAUUUUUUUGUCAAAUAUACAUGUCUUUGACCUAAAAAUACAAAACCUUUAAAGGAACAAAAAAUAUAAUGCAAAACCUUUAGAAAGGUAGCAACACUUUACAUAUACUACCUGUAACAUAUAUAUACUACCAGUAUUGGUUUUAUAUGUUGUAUUUGUAAUGCACCGCUUGUAUAUAUA
This 239-nucleotide long non-coding RNA is filed under the name Medicago truncatula (barrel medic). Its description in RNAcentral is "long non-coding RNA (MTRU_LNC006623)". Lineage: Eukaryota; Viridiplantae; Streptophyta; Magnoliopsida; Fabales; Fabaceae. The record is from RNAcentral.